This is a long non-coding RNA of Saccostrea cuccullata (small rock oyster), 229 nucleotides long. RefSeq lists it as uncharacterized. NCBI's taxonomy places the organism in Eukaryota, Metazoa, Mollusca, Bivalvia, Ostreida, Ostreidae. The transcript is spliced from 4 exons. The record is from RefSeq and is a predicted model, not a curated record.
CUUCCAGUCAGGUGAGAGUAUCUAAGAGAUGGGUCUUCCAGUCAGGUCAGAGUAUCUUAGAGGUGGGUCUUCCAGUCAGGUGAGAGUAUCUAAGAGAUGGGUCUUCCAGUCACGUGAGAGUAUCUAAGAGAUGGGUCUUCCAGUCACGUUAGAGUAUCUAAGAGGUGGGUCUUCCAGUCAGGUAAGAGUAUCUAAAAGGUCGGUCUUCCAGUCAGGUGAGAGUAUCUAA